This 245-nucleotide ribosomal RNA is filed under the name uncultured Eubacteriales bacterium. RNAcentral's name for it is "uncultured Clostridiales bacterium partial 16S ribosomal RNA". It matches the Rfam family "Bacterial small subunit ribosomal RNA", at positions 524 to 769 of the family's 1533-position model. The record is from RNAcentral. Lineage: Bacteria; Bacillati; Bacillota; Clostridia; Eubacteriales.
UACGUAGGGGGCGAGCGUUAUCCGGAAUUAUUGGGCGUAAAGAGUACGUAGGCGGGAAAUUAAGCGCAGGGUUUAAGGCAAAGGCUUAACCAUUGUUCGCCCUGUGAACUGAUUUUCUUGAGUGCAGGAGGGGAAAGCGGAAUUCCUAGUGUAGCGGUGAAAUGCGUAGAUAUUAGGAGGAACACCAGUGGCGAAGGCGGCUUUCUGGACUGUAACUGACGCUGAGGUACGAAAGUGUGGGGAGC